UGAAGGUUGACAAGGCGGAGGCUAUAGAUGAAUUAUGUCCCAUCAGUGUGCUGAGGAAAGGCCUGUGAAUUGUUGAAAUCCUGCAGGUGUGUACCACUCCCAGUACCUCUGAGAGGGACCAAAGAUACAAAGCUUGGAGUAGAAAGCUAAGGGCAAGCAUCUGCCAUGGACACCAGGCAGCUUUAUGCAGAAAUACAGGGUCUCAUUUUUUGUUGUCUCUGCCCUCUUUAAAGUAUCCCACCUCCUCCUUUGUGUUCAGCCACUCUCCAGAACUUGUAUUUGGUUGAUUGGCCCAAUCCAAAACAGAAUGUAUAUGUUUCCAGAAUGUCAAUGCCACAGAGCUGGAAUAUUCUCCGAAUUCCCAAUAGUUUGUCACUUACAAGGUUUAUUACAGAGUAAACAUUUACUGUAAAAAAUAAGAUAA
RNAcentral lists this long non-coding RNA (424 nucleotides) under Rattus norvegicus (Norway rat). Its description in RNAcentral is "long non-coding RNA NONRATT021087". Lineage: Eukaryota; Metazoa; Chordata; Mammalia; Rodentia; Muridae. The record is from RNAcentral.